This 68-nucleotide non-coding RNA is filed under the name bovine gut metagenome. RNAcentral describes it as "Glycine riboswitch". It matches the Rfam family "Glycine riboswitch aptamer", at positions 8 to 87 of the family's 94-position model. From Rfam's summary of the family: This family represents the bacterial glycine riboswitch. The record is from RNAcentral. RNAcentral also lists the same sequence under 1 other name.
GAAACCGGGAGAGAUCUGAUCAUAAUAGACACCGAAGGGGAAGAAACUCUCAGGUAAAAGGACCGGUU